GGUGGCUCAGUGGUAGAGCUCUUGCCUUGCAUGCAGGAGGCCCUGGGUUUGAUUCCUCAGCACCA
This 65-nucleotide transfer RNA is filed under the name Dipodomys ordii (Ord's kangaroo rat). It matches the Rfam family "tRNA". From Rfam's summary of the family: Transfer RNA (tRNA) molecules are approximately 80 nucleotides in length. Their secondary structure includes four short double-helical elements and three loops (D, anti-codon, and T loops). Further hydrogen bonds mediate the characteristic L-shaped molecular structure. tRNAs have two regions of fundamental functional importance: the anti-codon, which is responsible for specific mRNA codon recognition, and the 3' end, to which the tRNAs corresponding amino acid is attached (by aminoacyl-tRNA synthetases). tRNAs cope with the degeneracy of the genetic code in two manners: having more than one tRNA (with a specific anti-codon) for a particular amino acid; and 'wobble' base-pairing, i.e. permitting non-standard base-pairing at the 3rd anti-codon position. Lineage: Eukaryota; Metazoa; Chordata; Mammalia; Rodentia; Heteromyidae. The record is from Rfam by way of RNAcentral.